RNAcentral lists this ribosomal RNA (253 nucleotides) under uncultured bacterium. Its description in RNAcentral is "partial 16S ribosomal RNA". It matches the Rfam family "Bacterial small subunit ribosomal RNA", at positions 524 to 776 of the family's 1533-position model. The record is from RNAcentral. RNAcentral also lists the same sequence under 1 other name.
GACAGAGGGUGCAAACGUUGUUCGGAAUUACUGGGCGUAAAGCGCGUGUAGGCUGCUCUGCAAGUCGGAUGUGAAAGCCCUGGGCUCAACCUAGGAAGUGCAUUCGAAACUGCAAAGCUUGAGUCCUGGAGAGGAAGGCGGAAUUCUCGGUGUAGAGGUGAAAUUCGUAGAUAUCGAGAGGAACACCGGUGGCGAAGGCGGCCUUCUGGACAGUGACUGACGCUGAGACGCGAAAGCGUGGGGAGCAAACAGG